Molecule: ribosomal RNA, 496 nt
Filed under: uncultured bacterium
Lineage: Bacteria
Description: partial 16S ribosomal RNA
Rfam family: Bacterial small subunit ribosomal RNA
Source: RNAcentral
AUGAACGCUGGCGGCGUGCCUAAUACAUGCCAGUCGAGCGAACGGACGAGAAGCUUUCUUCUCUGAUGUUAGCGGCGGACGGGUGAGUAACACGUGGAUAACCUACCUAUAAGACUGGGAUAACUUCGGGAAACCGGAGCUAAUACCGGAUAAUAUUUUGAACCGCAUGGUUCAAAAGUUAAAGACGGUCUUGCUGUCACUUAUAGAUGGAUCCGCGCUGCAUUAGCUAGUUGGUAAGGUAACGGCUUACCAAGGCAACGAUGCAUAGCCGACCUGAGAGGGUGAUCGGCCACACUGGAACUGAGACACGGUCCAGAGGCCUACGGGAGGCAGCAGUAGGGAAUCUUCCGCAAUGGGCGAAAGCCUGACGGAGCAACGCCGCGUGAGAGAUGAAGGUCUUCGGAUCGUAAAACUCUGUUAUUAGGGAAGAACAUAUGUGUAAGUAACUGUGCACAUCUUGACGGUACCUAAUCAGAAAGCCACGGCUAACUACGUG